GGACUAACCCCCCCCAGGAGGCUUCUAACCUCCUCUUAAGCGACCCUCGUUUUUAGUUCU
Molecule: transfer RNA, 60 nt
Filed under: Polygraphus poligraphus
Lineage: Eukaryota; Metazoa; Arthropoda; Insecta; Coleoptera; Curculionidae
Description: tRNA-Ser
Source: RNAcentral